GGAGUUGAAAAAGUAUUUUAUUUAAACAGAUAUAUGGCCCUAAAGGCAUUUAUAGGGCAAAUCUAUAUUUACAUAUUUUAUUUUGAGGUGAAACUACUUCCAAAAGUUGUAUCAUGGUAGAAUAUGAUUUUAGAAAUUUUCUGGGAUUUAUUUGGACCAAUUUGGAGUUCAAACUCAAAAGAUAUCAAAGAAAUGAGAAAAGCAGAAAAAGAAAAGGCUAAAAGAAAAAAAAAAUAGAAAACCGGACCGAACCGGCCGUUUUGGGCCGAACCGGCCUGGUCCGACCGCGCCCGAGCCGACCCGACCGGCCC
RNAcentral lists this long non-coding RNA (311 nucleotides) under Brachypodium distachyon (stiff brome). Its description in RNAcentral is "long non-coding RNA (BDIS_LNC001420)". The record is from RNAcentral. Lineage: Eukaryota; Viridiplantae; Streptophyta; Magnoliopsida; Poales; Poaceae.